Pelobates cultripes (western spadefoot toad) is the source of this 472-nucleotide non-coding RNA. Lineage: Eukaryota; Metazoa; Chordata; Amphibia; Anura; Pelobatidae. The record is from the annotation of a GenBank genome assembly.
GGGAUACUUCAAGCAACAUCAACUGUGGUCCUGUGAGGAGCAUGAAGGUCUCUCAGACACUUCAGGACAGCUACACUGCAUGACCCAUCUCAAAAUCCUCAUCAGUCUUCACCAAACAUCCUGCCCCGCAUCAUCUGGAAAUCACUCUGGCUAAUGAUGGGACUAUCCUGUUUGUUGGCAGUAACACUGAAGUGGGACUAUGCUAUAACUACGGAGGGCAUUGGCUGACUCCUGCUGACCUACUGUCGCUCACAUACAAGCCUCUAACAAGGAGAAAUGCUUUAGUUUAGUUUAUUUCUGUUGAUGAACCAUGCACUCCUAAUAGCCUCGUGUCGCUGUGGGCAUUUUGGGUCCCUUGAUGAGUGAUACUUAUUUCAGCAUGUCUGUAAACAUGUGCAAAAUGCCAGCUUAAUUUUAGUUACAAUGAAUAAGCAUUCAGAGCUUUAGACUACCAUUAUAUGCUUGUCUUCCC